UACGGGGGGUGCGAGCGUUGUUCGGAAUUAUUGGGCGUAAAGCGCGUGCAGGCGGUUUUGUAAGUCUGAUGUGAAAGCCCCGGGCUUACCCCGGGAAGUGCAUUGGAUACUGCAAGACUUGAGUUCGGGAGAGGUGAGUGGAAUUCCUGGAGUAGGGGUGAAAUCCGUAGAUAUCAGGAGGAACACCGGUGGCGAAGGCGGCAUCCUGGACCGACACUGACACUGAGGAGCGAAAGCCAGGGGAGCAAACGGG
This 253-nucleotide ribosomal RNA is filed under the name uncultured bacterium. Its description in RNAcentral is "partial 16S ribosomal RNA". It matches the Rfam family "Bacterial small subunit ribosomal RNA", at positions 524 to 776 of the family's 1533-position model. The record is from RNAcentral.